GACGAACGCUGGCGGCGUGCUUAACACAUGCAAGUCGAGCGGUAAGGCCUCUUCGGGGGUACACGAGCGGCGAACGGGUGAGUAACACGCGGGUGACCUGCCCUCAGCUCUGGGAUAAGCCUGGGAAACUGGGUCUAAUACCGGCUAUGACCUUUCCUCGCAUGGGGUUUGGUGGAAAGUUUUUUCGGCUGGGGAUGGGCCCGCGGCCUAUCAACUUGUUGGUGGGGUGAUGGCCUACCAAGGCGACGACGGGUAGCCGGCCUGAGAGGGCGACCGGCCACACUGGGACUGAGACACGGCCCAGACUCCUACGGGAGGCAGCAGUGGGGAAUAUUGCGCAAUGGGCGGAAGCCUGACGCAGCGACGCCGCGUGGGGGAUGACGGCCUUCGGGUUGUAAACCUCUUUCGACCCCGACGAAUUUGGACGGUAGGGGUAGAAGAAGCACCGGCCAACUACGUG
Molecule: ribosomal RNA, 460 nt
Filed under: uncultured bacterium
Lineage: Bacteria
Description: partial 16S ribosomal RNA
Rfam family: Bacterial small subunit ribosomal RNA
Source: RNAcentral